GAAAGAGAAUGAAAGAAAGAGAAAAAAAAAAGUUGUGAAGAAAAGAAAGCGACAGGCUCACUGCGUUUGUUUAACUAACUCCAGUGUCUGCUUU
RNAcentral lists this non-coding RNA (94 nucleotides) under Chromera velia. The record is from RNAcentral. Lineage: Eukaryota; Chromeraceae.